RNAcentral lists this long non-coding RNA (432 nucleotides) under Lepisosteus oculatus (spotted gar). RNAcentral's name for it is "lncRNA (ENSLOCG00000021274.1)". Lineage: Eukaryota; Metazoa; Chordata; Actinopteri; Semionotiformes; Lepisosteidae. The record is from RNAcentral.
GUUCAUUCACUUUUUUUUUUGGAUUCCAUGUAUCGCAGCCAGAAAGUUGUUGUUUAAAGACUGGAAGAACCCCAGAUGCCUGUGUUUCUUCAACACUCUGCUGCACUGUCUGCUUCCUGUAGAUUUUGAAUUCCUGUGAAGGACCUGAAGAAUCGAGGCGUAUUUCACCUUUUUUCCACUGUAUGGUGCCAACUGGUUGUUUAUUGAAAUGACAUAAUCUACACUAGAUAACAAUACACAUCCUCUUGUACACACAGGAGGAGGACAGCUGUCUGUAAUAAGGUUGUUUACACAAGUGGGAAGAUGAAACUCAGUUUCCACAUUGACAUCACCUCAGAUGUUUUCCUGAUACCAGAAUGUCUGGCACGUGCGAUGGUCGAUACAGCUCCCAGUGAAUUCAGUUCUUCCACAAGAACACUUCUAACACUGUAA